UGUACUACACAAACAUUAGUACCAUACAACAAAAAAAAUUAUUUUAACACAAAGCACAAAGUAGAACGUCUUUCUUCACCAUUUUUAAGAAGGAAUUCAUUUCUCAUUAAAGAAACAAAGCAAAGAAAAAGAGCGUUCUCAAAAAAAAAACUUCUCCAAAAAAAUCUCAAUCCAAGAUGGAGCAACAGAGGGGAGCAUAAUCUCAUUCUUACUAUCUCCAUUUCAAAUAUGUAUAUAUAUAUAUAUAUAUGUAUAUAUAUAUAUUAAUUUUUUUAAAACAGGCCGGUUCUGAAAAAAAAAAAACUUCAAUGCGUCUGAUUGGAUCAGCGGUGCAUCCGAUCGGAUUAGCGAUGGCGCGUCUGACCGGCUUAGUGAUAAAUAGGACAAAUGGGCCAGGCUGGGUCGAUUCAUGUGGGCGAGCCAUGACCCGAAAUAUCCAACAUAUUAUAGUUAGUUUGACUUUAACUCAAGUUAAAGUUCUUUGAUUUUCUACUUUGGGAUGGGGAGAACUUCAUAUUCUAUCUCUUUAAAUUUGUUUACAUGUUGAAAUUAACAAACUAAUAUGCUUGAGACAAUAUAUGUAUAAGUUAUAACUGUUCAUUAAAUACUAAGAAUAUAGUAGUAAAAAAAAAAAUCAAUCUUAAGUUGAAUUAAAAAAACACUUACUUUUUUCUACAAUGCAAUGACCGAAGAACUUAACAAUAAAUAAAAUGAAUUAAAUGAAGAAAUUAAAACUCUCUCGUGUUUAAUGUCUCCUCUUGAUUGUUGAAUUACUCAUUUGAACAGUAAUAAAACAAGAACUCUCGUAAAAAAAAUUAACUGUACUUACAUAUAAAUUUACCCUUUGUCAAGUAGACUAAUAAUGUAUAGAACUAUAUAUAGACAACGACAAGUGAAAAUACACGCACAAAAAAAAAUCUUAGUCAUGAAAAUAAUUUUGGUAUUCAAUUGAACCCAACGUUUCCACAAAUAAGUGUUGCAUUGAAGUGAAAUGACAAUAACAUAAGGUUUAAUUUACAUAAAGGAAGAAAGUAUGAGCCGAACUAGAUUUCUAGCUACGGAUUCAAGAGAAUUCCUAGCUUUUGACAAAGUUCUGUAUUUGUGUUAAAAAUUAGUCAGUAUGUACAAAUAAUUUAAACUUAAUAAAUUACUUUUCCUAGAAUUCACGACUCAUACACUCAAAAUCUUGGAUCGACUGACAUGUAUAACAUAUUUUUAUAACAUCAAUGGCGAGACCAACAACGAAAAGUUCACGAUGGAGCUGUAUGAGAUGAAGUCUCAAGUACAAUUCUUAGAGAAGAGAAUAUCUACCUACUAAAGCUUCGAUCAAAUACCAUGUGUCAAUGUCAAUUUUGAACCACUUUUGAGUUUUGACUAGUUUCCAAAAGCAGCUACUUAUUGGGGUUCGUUGGUUCAAUUGGAUUUCAAAAUUCAUAAAUAGGAUUUUUUUUAUUAUGAUGAUCUAAACAGUUAACACCAAUAAAUUUUGAAUUUAUCCAUUAUAGUAAUGAUGAUAUUUAACACUAAUUGAUAAUCAUUGGCCCUUAAGUCUUCUUUUAAAGAAAAAAUAUAGAGAUUAUGGAAACUAAUGAAAGUUGACUGAUUUGAUUUUAUGAUUAAAUAAAAAAUAUUUAGUAACUCUUCUGGAAAAUUUUAUGUGAAGUUAGACUGAACUUAAGACUUAAUAUUAUGUUUAGGACCUUUCCACAAAAAUGAAAAAAAAAAUUACAUUUAUUGAUUUAGUUGAAAUAUUAAGUGUGAUCUUUUCUGAAGAUUUUUGAAAAUGAAACUUAUUAUAAGGCAGCAUUUUCACAUCUUUGUGUUUGAUGCAGAUUAUGGGUUUUUGUUACUGUCUUAUAGAUUGUAUUAUGCUCUUGAUGUUUAACCCUCUGUUUGGAUGGUGGUUUUCCAUGGUAUGGUAUGAUAUAGUUAUUAAGAGAAUCACGUUUGCUUUGA
This is a long non-coding RNA of Capsicum annuum, 1956 nucleotides long. RefSeq lists it as uncharacterized. The record is from RefSeq and is a predicted model, not a curated record. The transcript is spliced from 2 exons. Lineage: Eukaryota; Viridiplantae; Streptophyta; Magnoliopsida; Solanales; Solanaceae.